GUAUGAAGAGGUCUACAAUUACAUGUAUUUCUCUGUAAGCUGGCUGUGUGUGGGUUGAGUGCUGUACUUUUAGCUGGACCCUGUGUACUGUGCACACAGCCUCCCUUUACAUGAUGCUGGUCGAAGAGGAGCCAGGACAGAAAAACACAGAUUCUGGCAAACUCCUCUGCUCUAAGUGAUCUUUCUUAACUGCCCUUCACAAAGUAAAAACUUGAUUUUCCAUGUGCCUCAGUUUAUUUAGAAAGGUAAAUAGCCUAAAGGAAGCAGCUUCCAAACCUCUCCAAAACAGGUAUUUCCAAGAUAAAGGAAUCAGUAUACAGGUCUUCUGCAUGACUGGAGAACUAUGAUGCUGGCUUUCAGCAUUCUUUCUGGCAGCUAAACAACCUCACCACAACAGAAGCGGUGACACUCCCUCCUCACCCUCCCUGCUCAGCCUGGUCUGUAGCCUUUCUCAGCUACCUGCAAAAGAAAAGCAACCAAUUUGAGCUCCACCUGUGAGACGUGGUCCCAGAUCUCAAUCCUGCAGGUAUGAAAAGACAGAACCAACUUAAACAGCAGGCAAGGCACUGAGAAUGCAAGGGGCGAAUUCGGCACUAGAAAAUUUACUUGCUGAGCUGGGAUUCAUCAUACAAACAUCCCUUCAUGAAUAUCAGUGGCGCCUGCAUGCCUUCUGGAUCCAACUCACUCUCACUGAAGCAAAGAGGUACAACUGGCAACUUUUUCUGUCAGCAAAAGAUCUAUUUGUGGAAGAGCCAUCCUUAGAAACUUCACAUCACAUAUCAGAGGGCUGA
This 791-nucleotide long non-coding RNA is filed under the name Meleagris gallopavo (turkey). Its description in RNAcentral is "lncRNA (ENSMGAG00000022023.1)". The record is from RNAcentral. Lineage: Eukaryota; Metazoa; Chordata; Aves; Galliformes; Phasianidae.